Lolium rigidum is the source of this 344-nucleotide long non-coding RNA. RefSeq lists it as uncharacterized. The record is from RefSeq and is a predicted model, not a curated record. The transcript is spliced from 5 exons. Lineage: Eukaryota; Viridiplantae; Streptophyta; Magnoliopsida; Poales; Poaceae.
UGGAUUGAGCAACAAUAGAGUGUUUUCAUUGUCCUAGGGUGGUUUGGGUUGGAGCAUUGGAGCUCCGACGCUUGUGCCGCUGCGCCCCAAAGUUGUGAAAUGGCUUCUACUGGGGCUUAGAAAAGAACAAGCAGGUCAAGUGACUGAUUUUUGUAGACAUAUGUUCAUGGGGCUAGAAGGUUAAGCCAGGAACAACCUUAGUUGGGGCAUUACUGCAUAAAUAUGAAGACAAGAAGCCACGGGGCAGCGCGGACAUGAAUCAGCAGGGGCGGCGGUGCUCCGCUUAGAGGAGUUACAGGGGAGAGGAAGGAGGUCGGCGACGGGAGGGAAGAGCAAGCGGCCUU